This 106-nucleotide small nuclear RNA is filed under the name Mesocricetus auratus (golden hamster). Lineage: Eukaryota; Metazoa; Chordata; Mammalia; Rodentia; Cricetidae. The record is from RNAcentral.
CAUGACUUGCUUCGGUGGUGAGCAUACUAAAUUGGAACAAUACAGAGAAGAUCAGCAUGGCUUUUUGUUAAGAAAACAAAAAGUUCACGGCAAGUUCCAGAUAUAU